GGGGGCAUAGCUCAGUGGUAGAGCAUUCAACUCCAGAUCGAGAGGUCGCCGGUUCAAAUCUGGGUGUUCCCU
Non-coding RNA from Ctenocephalides felis (cat flea), 72 nucleotides. Lineage: Eukaryota; Metazoa; Arthropoda; Insecta; Siphonaptera; Pulicidae. The record is from the annotation of a RefSeq genome assembly.